AUUGAACGCUGGCGGCAUGCCUUACACAUGCAAGUCGAACGGCAGCAUGAUCUAGCUUGCUCGAUUGAUGGCGAGUGGCGAACGGGUGAGUAAUACAUCGGAACGUGCCCUGUAGUGGGGGAUAACUAGUCGAAAGAUUAGCUAAUAUCGCAUACGACCUGAGGGUGAAAGUGGGGGACCGCAAGGCCUCAUGCUAUAGGAGCGGCCGAUGUCUGAUUAGCUAGUUGGUGAGGUAAAGGCUCACCAAGGCGACGAUCAGUAGCUGGUCUGAGAGGACGAUCAGCCACACUGGGACUGAGACACGGCCCAGACUCCUACGGGAGGCAGCAGUGGGGAAUUUUGGACAAUGGGCGAAAGCCUGAUCCAGCAAUGCCGCGUGUGUGAAGAAGGCCUUCGGGUUGUAAAGCACUUUUGUCCGGAAAGAAGUGGCUCUGGUUAAUACCUGGGGUCGAUGACGGUACCGGAAGAAUAAGGACCGGCUAACUACGUG
Molecule: ribosomal RNA, 490 nt
Filed under: uncultured bacterium
Lineage: Bacteria
Description: partial 16S ribosomal RNA
Rfam family: Bacterial small subunit ribosomal RNA
Source: RNAcentral